Molecule: unclassified non-coding RNA, 426 nt
Filed under: plant metagenome
Description: partial contains 5.8S ribosomal RNA, internal transcribed spacer 2, and large subunit ribosomal RNA
Rfam family: Bacterial small subunit ribosomal RNA
Source: RNAcentral
GGAAUCUUCCGCAAUGGACGAAAGUCUGACGGAGCAACGCCGCGUGAGUGAUGAAGGUUUUCGGAUCGUAAAGCUCUGUUGCCAGGGAAGAACGUCUUGUAGAGUAACUGCUACGAGAGUGACGGUACCUGAGAAGAAAGCCCCGGCUAACUACGUGCCAGCAGCCGCGGUAAUACGUAGGGGGCAAGCGUUGUCCGGAAUUAUUGGGCGUAAAGCGCGCGCAGGCGGCUCUUUAAGUCUGGUGUUUAAUCCCGAGGCUCAACUUCGGGUCGCACUGGAAACUGGAGAGCUUGAGUGCAGAAGAGGAGAGUGGAAUUCCACGUGUAGCGGUGAAAUGCGUAGAGAUGUGGAGGAACACCAGUGGCGAAGGCGACUCUCUGGGCUGUAACUGACGCUGAGGCGCGAAAGCGUGGGGAGCAAACAGGA